ACGUAGGGGGCAAGCGUUGUCCGGAAUUAUUGGGCGUAAAGCGCGCGCAGGCGGUUUCUUAAGUCUGGUGUGAAAGCCCGCAGCUCAACUGCGGAGGGCCACUGGAAACUGGGAAGCUUGAGUGUAGGAGAGGAGAGCGGAAUUCCACGUGUAGCGGUGAAAUGCGUAGAGAUGUGGAGGAACACCUGUGGCGAAAGCGGCUCUCUGGCCUAUAACUGACGCUGAGGCGCGAAAGCGUGGGGAGCAAACAGGA
RNAcentral lists this ribosomal RNA (253 nucleotides) under uncultured prokaryote. RNAcentral's name for it is "partial 16S ribosomal RNA". It matches the Rfam family "Bacterial small subunit ribosomal RNA", at positions 525 to 777 of the family's 1533-position model. The record is from RNAcentral.